AACGAACGCUGGCGGCAGGCCUAACACAUGCAAGUCGAGCGGACCCUUCGGGGUUAGCGGCGGACGGGUGAGUAACGCGUGGGAAUAUGCCCUUCUCUACGGAAUAGUCCUGGGAAACUGGGGGUAAUACCGUAUACGCCCUUUGGGGGAAAGAUUUAUCGGGGAAGGAUUAGCCCGCGUUGGAUUAGGUAGUUGGUGGGGUAAUGGCCUACCAAGCCGACGAUCCAUAGCUGGUUUGAGAGGAUGAUCAGCCACACUGGGACUGAGACACGGCCCAGACUCCUACCGGAGGCAGGCGUUGGGAAUCUUAGGCAAUGGGGGCAACCCUGAUCUAGCCAUGCCGCGUGAGUGAUGAAGGCCUUAGGGUUGUAAAGCUCUUUCAGCUGGGAAGAUAAUGACGGUACCAGCAGAAGAAGCCCCGGCUAACUCCGUG
RNAcentral lists this ribosomal RNA (433 nucleotides) under uncultured bacterium. RNAcentral's name for it is "partial 16S ribosomal RNA". It matches the Rfam family "Bacterial small subunit ribosomal RNA", at positions 29 to 507 of the family's 1533-position model. The record is from RNAcentral.